Gossypium arboreum is the source of this 144-nucleotide microRNA precursor. It matches the Rfam family "MIR7502 microRNA precursor family". The record is from Rfam. NCBI's taxonomy places the organism in Eukaryota, Viridiplantae, Streptophyta, Magnoliopsida, Malvales, Malvaceae.
UAUUAAAAUUUUUAUUUAAUUUUAUUGUUAAAAACUGGCAUAACUGACAAAAUAACCAAACAAUUACAUUUGCAUAUCACGUGUACCUUAUAUCGAUGUUUAUGGACUCGUUUUCAACAAUAGAAAUAUAUGAAAUUUUUAACA